Molecule: ribosomal RNA, 1321 nt
Filed under: uncultured bacterium
Lineage: Bacteria
Description: bacterial SSU rRNA
Rfam family: Bacterial small subunit ribosomal RNA
Source: RNAcentral
GAACGGGUGAGUAACACGUGGGUGAUCUGCCCUGCACUUUGGGAUAAGCCUGGGAAACUGGGUCUAAUACCGAAUAGGGCCACGCGCUUCAUGGUGUGUGGUGGAAAGCUUUUGCGGUGUGGGAUGGGCCCGCGGCCUAUCAGCUUGUUGGUGGGGUAAUGGCCUACCAAGGCGACGACGGGUAGCCGGCCUGAGAGGGUGACCGGCCACACUGGGACUGAGAUACGGCCCAGACUCCUACGGGAGGCAGCAGUGGGGAAUAUUGUACAAUGGGCGCAAGCCUGAUGCAGCGACGCCGCGUGAGGGAUGACGGCCUUCGGGUUGUAAACCUCUUUCAAUAGGGACGAAGCGCAAGUGACGGUACCUAUAGAAGAAGCACCGGCCAACUACGUGCCAGCAGCCGCGGUAAUACGUAGGGUGCGAGCGUUGUCCGGAAUUACUGGGCGUAAAGAGCUCGUAGGUGGUUUGUCGCGUUGUUCGUGAAAACUCACAGCUUAACUGUGGGCGUGCGGGCGAUACGGGCAGACUAGAGUACUGCAGGGGAGACUGGAAUUCCUGGUGUAGCGGUGGAAUGCGCAGAUAUCAGGAGGAACACCGGUGGCGAAGGCGGGUCUCUGGGCAGUAACUGACGCUGAGGAGCGAAAGCGUGGGGAGCGAACAGGAUUAGAUACCCUGGUAGUCCACGCCGUAAACGGUGGGUACUAGGUGUGGGUUCCUUCCUUGGGAUCCGUGCCGUAGCUAACGCAUUAAGUACCCCGCCUGGGGAGUACGGCCGCAAGGCUAAAACUCAAAGGAAUUGACGGGGGCCCGCACAAGCGGCGGAGCAUGUGGAUUAAUUCGAUGCAACGCGAAGAACCUUACCUGGGUUUGACAUGCACAGGACGCCGGCAGAGAUGUCGGUUCCCUUGUGGCCUGUGUGCAGGUGGUGCAUGGCUGUCGUCAGCUCGUGUCGUGAGAUGUUGGGUUAAGUCCCGCAACGAGCGCAACCCUUGUCCUAUGUUGCCAGCGGGUUAUGCCGGGGACUCGUAGGAGACUGCCGGGGUCAACUCGGAGGAAGGUGGGGAUGACGUCAAGUCAUCAUGCCCCUUAUGUCCAGGGCUUCACACAUGCUACAAUGGCCGGUACAAAGGGCUGCGAUGCCGUGAGGUGGAGCGAAUCCUUUCAAAGCCGGUCUCAGUUCGGAUCGGGGUCUGCAACUCGACCCCGUGAAGUCGGAGUCGCUAGUAAUCGCAGAUCAGCAACGCUGCGGUGAAUACGUUCCCGGGCCUUGUACACACCGCCCGUCACGUCAUGAAAGUCGGUAACACCCGGAGCCGGUGGC